RNAcentral lists this small RNA (182 nucleotides) under Sphingomonas sp. RNAcentral describes it as "Manganese sequence". It matches the Rfam family "Manganese Mn2+ riboswitch aptamer (yybP-ykoY)". Rfam says of the family: This RNA was originally discovered in E. coli during a large scale screen and was named SraF. The family was later found to exist upstream of related families of protein genes in many bacteria, including the the yybP and ykoK genes in B. subtilis. Lineage: Bacteria; Pseudomonadati; Pseudomonadota; Alphaproteobacteria; Sphingomonadales; Sphingomonadaceae. The record is from RNAcentral.
GCGCCCGUCAUCUGGGGAGUAGCCAGCCGCCCGAACCGGGCGGGCCUUCGCGUCAACAUACUUGGUCGAGAGGCCAUGGUGCGAAGGGAGCGGGACCACCGUUCGGGCGAGACCAAUGACACCGCACCUUCGCCUUGCCGGGCGGGGGGUGUGGUGUCGUUGGAUUUUUCGCCGCCCGGCCC